GUAAUAUAAGAUACGGUCUCUUAACUUUUAACUUAAAAAAAGCUAAGAGACGUCUCUUAAAUAAGAGAUAUAAGAGACGUCUCUUAGCUUUUUUAGUUAAAAGAUAAGAGAUUGUAUCUUAUAUUAC
MicroRNA precursor from Brassica oleracea var. oleracea, 127 nucleotides. It matches the Rfam family "MIR9563 microRNA precursor family". NCBI's taxonomy places the organism in Eukaryota, Viridiplantae, Streptophyta, Magnoliopsida, Brassicales, Brassicaceae. The record is from Rfam.